RNAcentral lists this long non-coding RNA (735 nucleotides) under Vitis vinifera (wine grape). RNAcentral describes it as "long non-coding RNA (VVIN_LNC003070)". Lineage: Eukaryota; Viridiplantae; Streptophyta; Magnoliopsida; Vitales; Vitaceae. The record is from RNAcentral.
AUCAAUGGCGUCCAUGGCUACCACUCUCACUUCUCUUUCUUCCAACCCAAAACCAGCUUUCUUCGACAACAAGUCCUCCUUCCAUGGCUCUCCCAUCUCCUAUCGUGUCCUUCCCAUCAAGGUCUCCCACCAAAGCCCCACAAUUUCCAUGUCCUCCGUCUCUCCAUACGAUCUUCAGAGCUUCAAGUUCGAACCCAUCAAGGAGUCCAUCGUUGCGCGCGAGAUGACUCGCCGUUACAUGAUGGACAUGAUCACCUACGCCGACACCGACGUCGUCAUCGUCGGAGCCGGCUCCGCGGGGCUCUCGUGCGCGUACGAGCUCAGCAAGAACCCGUCAAUCCGUGUGGCGAUAAUCGAGCAGUCCGUCAGUCCCGGCGGCGGCGCGUGGCUCGGGGGCCAGCUGUUCUCAGCCAUGGUGGUGAGGAAGCCUGCUCAUCACUUCCUUGAUGAGCUUGGCAUCGAGUAUGAUGAGCAGGACAACUACGUUGUGAUCAAGCAUGCCGCUCUGUUCACUUCCACCAUCAUGAGCAAGCUCUUGGCCAGGCCUAAUGUGAAGCUCUUCAACGCCGUGGCCGCUGAGGAUUUGAUUGUGAAGGAAGAGAGGGUGGCCGGCGUAGUCACCAACUGGGCUUUGGUUUCAAUGAACCACGACACACAGUCCUGUAUGGACCCCAAUGUGAUGGAGGCGAAGGUGGUGGUGAGCUCUUGCGGCCACGACGGGCCCUUCGGAGCCAC